GAGUGGGGGAUAACGUAGCGAAAGUUACGCUAAUACCGCAUACGAUCUAAGGAUGAAAGUGGGGGAUCGCAAGACCUCAUGCUCGUGGAGCGGCCGAUAUCUGAUUAGCUAGUUGGUAGGGUAAAAGCCUACCAAGGCAUCGAUCAGUAGCUGGUCUGAGAGGACGACCAGCCACACUGGAACUGAGACACGGUCCAGACUCCUACGGGAGGCAGCAGUGGGGAAUUUUGGACAAUGGGCGAAAGCCUGAUCCAGCAAUGCCGCGUGAGUGAAGAAGGCCUUCGGGUUGUAAAGCUCUUUUGUCAGGGAAGAAACGGUGAGAGCUAAUAUCCCUUGCUAAUGACGGUACCUGAAGAAUAAGCACCGGCUAACUACGUGCCAGCAGCCGCGGUAAUACGUAGGGUGCAAGCGUUAAUCGGAAUUACUGGGCGUAAAGCGUGCGCAGGCGGUUUUGUAAGUCUGAUGUGAAAUCCCCGGGCUCAACCUGGGAAUUGCAUUGGAGACUGCAAGGCUAGAAUCUGGCAGAGGGGGGUAGAAUUCCACGUGUAGCAGUGAAAUGCGUAGAUAUGUGGAGGAACACCGAUGGCGAAGGCAGCCCCCUGGGUCAAGAUUGACG
Molecule: ribosomal RNA, 616 nt
Filed under: uncultured beta proteobacterium
Lineage: Bacteria; Pseudomonadati; Pseudomonadota; Betaproteobacteria
Description: bacterial SSU rRNA
Rfam family: Bacterial small subunit ribosomal RNA
Source: RNAcentral